AGUGAACGCUGGCGGUAGGCCUAACACAUGCAAGUCGAACGGCAGCACAGUAAGAGCUUGCUCUUACGGGUUGCGAGUGGCGGACGGGUGAGGAAUACAUCGGAAUCUACUUUUUCGGGGGGGAUAACGUAGGGAAACUUACGCUAAUACCGCAUACGACCUACGGGGGAAAGCAGGGGAUCUCUGGACCUUGCGCGAUUGAAUGAGCCGAUGUCGGAUUAGCUAGUUGGCGGGGUAAAGGCCCACCAAGUCGACGAUCCGUAGCUGGUCUGAGAGGAUGAUCAGCCACACUGGAACUGAGACACGGUCCAGACUCCUACGGGAGGCAGCAGUGGGGAAUAUUGGACAAUGGGCGCAAGCCUGAUCCAGCCAUACCGCGUGGGUGAAGAAGGCCUUCGGGUUGUAAAGCCCUUUUGUUGGGAAAGAAAAGCAGCAGGUUAAUACCCCGCUGUUCUGACGGUACCCAAAGAAUAAGCACCGGCUAACUUCGUG
Molecule: ribosomal RNA, 492 nt
Filed under: uncultured bacterium
Lineage: Bacteria
Description: partial 16S ribosomal RNA
Rfam family: Bacterial small subunit ribosomal RNA
Source: RNAcentral